UACGGAGGGUGCAAGCGUUGUUCGGAAUCAUUGGGCGUAAAGCGCGUGUAGGCGGCUUGGCAAGUCGGUUGUGAAAGCCCGGGGCCCAACCCCGGAACUGCAUCUGAAACUGCCUGGCUAGAGUCCCGGAGAGGAAGACAGAAUUCCCGGUGUAGGGGUGAAAUCCGUAGAUAUCGGGAGGAAUACCAGCGGCGAAGGCGGCCUUCUGGACGGUGACUGACGCUGAGACGCGAAAGCGUGGGGAGCAAACAGG
RNAcentral lists this ribosomal RNA (253 nucleotides) under uncultured bacterium. Its description in RNAcentral is "partial 16S ribosomal RNA". It matches the Rfam family "Bacterial small subunit ribosomal RNA", at positions 524 to 776 of the family's 1533-position model. The record is from RNAcentral.